RNAcentral lists this ribosomal RNA (555 nucleotides) under uncultured archaeon. RNAcentral's name for it is "bacterial SSU rRNA". It matches the Rfam family "Archaeal small subunit ribosomal RNA", at positions 323 to 879 of the family's 1478-position model. The record is from RNAcentral.
CUUCGGGGCGCCCAGGCGCGAUUACUUUACAAUGCGGGAAACCGUGAUAAGGGGACACCGAGUGCCAGCAUCAUAUGCUGGCUGUCCAGGUGUGUAAAAUACACCUGUUAGCAAGGGCCGGGCAAGACCGGUGCCAGCCGCCGCGGUAACACCGGCGGCCCGAGUGGUGAUCGUGAUUAUUGGGUCUAAAGGGUCCGUAGCCGGUUUGGUCAGUCCUCCGGGAAAUCUGACGGCUCAACCGUUAGGCUUUCGGGGGAUACUGCCAGGCUUGGAACCGGGAGAGGUAAGAGGUACUACAGGGGUAGGAGUGAAAUCUUGUAAUCCCUGUGAGACCACCUGUGGCGAAGGCGUCUUACCAGAACGGGUUCGACGGUGAGGGACGAAAGCUGGGGGCACGAACCGGAUUAGAUACCCGGGUAGUCCCAGCCGUAAACGAUGCUCGCUAGGUGUCAGGCAUGGCGCGACCGUGUCUGGUGCCGCAGGGAAGCCGUGAAGCGAGCCACCUGGGAAGUACGGCCGCAAGGCUGAAACUUAAAGGAAUUGGCGGGGGAGCAC